Molecule: ribosomal RNA, 253 nt
Filed under: uncultured bacterium
Lineage: Bacteria
Description: partial 16S ribosomal RNA
Rfam family: Bacterial small subunit ribosomal RNA
Source: RNAcentral
UACGUAGGUGGCAAGCGUUGUCCGGAAUUAUUGGGCGUAAAGCGCGCGCAGGCGGCCUUUUAAGUCUGAUGUGAAAGCCCCCGGCUCAACCGGGGAGGGCCAUUGGAAACUGGAAGGCUUGAGUACAGAAGAGAAGAGUGGAAUUCCACGUGUAGCGGUGAAAUGCGUAGAGAUGUGGAGGAACACCAGUGGCGAAGGCGACUCUUUGGUCUGUAACUGACGCUGAGGCGCGAAAGCGUGGGGAGCAAACAGG